Molecule: long non-coding RNA, 9721 nt
Organism: Camelus dromedarius (Arabian camel)
Lineage: Eukaryota; Metazoa; Chordata; Mammalia; Artiodactyla; Camelidae
Exons: 6
Source: RefSeq, a predicted model, not a curated record
GCUCUGCGCACGCGCGGACCCUCGCAGGGUCGCCGGGAACGCGGGCGCGAAGACUCCCCCCGAGCUUCCCGCUGCGGCCCCCAGCUCCUGCGACGCCUUGUUGUCGCCCCCGCCUCAGCCUUGACCUCCCCCUCGCCGCGCCACACACGCGCGGGCUUUCACAAGUAACUGGAAGAGCGGGCCUGGCCUGCGCCGGAGGUUUGGUGGGACCUGCCGCCCCACCCGCCGUGAUGGGCCGUUACCACCCUCUUAAAGGAGCCCGGGAGGAAGGGAUGCGGCCCCAGCGGGGACUGCACAGAACUGAGCGCACAGCCAUCGUCUAGACCAGCGUAACUGUCCGGAGCUCUGCAGAGGGGUACCGAAAUGUGGGAAGAGUGACUACACUUUUCCAAGCCGUGAUUUAGAAUGUCUGGGGGAUUGUGAAAUUGGCUUGGUGGAUGGAGUCCGUAAUUAGGUCUAUUGGGCACCGAGAAUACAAGGAUGAACAAAUCACAAUCUCUAUUCUGCAGAGGCUGGUAGAGAAGAAAAAACAUGAAAAAAGAAUUAUAAAUGUGGAAAGUACCACAAUAGGGGUAUGCACAAGGCACUGGGACAGCACAAAAGAAAAAAGUGCUUCAUUUUGAAAUUUUCAGUUAAGGUUUGAUACAGAAGGUGAUUUUGUAGCUGAGUCAGAAAGGACCAAGGGAGUCACUUGGGAAGACAAGAGAGGAAAUGGGGAAAUUACUAACUUCACUAAUAAAUUGCACAGUACUAUGAAAGUGUUAGGAACCUUGGAAUAAAAUGACUGUAUCAUCUUGGAGUUUGUAGCAGUAAAGGAAAUGCAGCAUGCAAGAUUAGUGCAAAAUAUAUCUAUUUAGUAAAUUGAUUAUAUUUCAAAGGAAAGAUAUUUAGGAAGUAGACUAUAGGUGAAAGAUAAGAAUGACUCACUGGACAAGAUAUUCUAAAAGGUACCCUUGUUCAAGAAGCAUGAGUGAUUCUUGAAAAAUGAAAUUAGGUAAUACGAGCUCAAAUAAUUUUGCUGCUCAUAAAGCCCAUUAGAUAAAGACCAUCAGGAGCAAACCUGUAACCCAGCAAGGUUAGGUUUAUUGCCACAGCAAACACCACCACACAGCAGAGGAACCAUGCGCAUGUCUCCAAAAAACAGAAGAAAUGGGGACCAUUAUAGUGUUGGGGGAAGGGAAGAGUUUAGGUAGAUUCUAAAUGAAAUAGUGCUUAACAGACUCAGAGCAAAUCAGAUCUGUGUGCAAAGGGAUUAAUAUCAAAGCUGGAUGAGAAUCAGACUAAAGGUUCUAUUUCCUUGAAAGAUAAAUUUAAGAUUAAUGUAGAAUAUUGUGUCCCCAGGCGCCUUAUCUGACCCUCUGCACUGAAAAUUGAGGCUGCUUCUCUAAGUUAAAGUGGCUUGGGUGGUUUACAUCCUCCAGGCAAGAAAGGAAUGUUCUGUUCCUACUAAUAUGAGUUCCAGACAAUGAAGUUUCCAUCAACCUAGGAUUUUAGAAAGUUCCUUAGCACUGUGUCCUUUGAUGAUUACCCAAAGCAAUUUUUCAGAUUCACACUUUACAAUACUAAAUAAUUAAGAAAAAAUGUGAUUUUUAUUGGGAGAUCUCAAGGAGCUUUCAUUUUUAAAGAAUCUGAACUGCUAACAAGGGAGAGGAGACCAGUAUAUGGAGUUAGGGAAUGUAGGAAGCCUGUUGAAGAGAUGUUGUGUCAGCCAGCCUCCAACACUGUCCCUAAUAAUCCUUGCUUCCUGGUGUUCGUGCCUUUGUGUAAUCUUCCUCACUUGAGGGCUGAUCUGUGUGCACAAGGGAGUACAGCAGAGGUGACGGUAUGUGACCCCUGAGACCCUUGAGCACUGUGGCUCCCGCCUUGGUCUCCUGAAUUGUUUGCUCUCAGGGAAGCCAGCUGCCACAGAGAACAGUCAGACAGCCCUGGGGAAGACUCGAGGACACCCACCAGGAGCCAGCUCCACGUUGCUAGCCUUGGGAGCAGGUCUUGCGUCCCCAGUCAAGCCUUAGGUGCCUGCAGCCUCGUAAACAACCCCGAGCCCAAACACUCAACGCAGGUGUCGCACUCCUGACUCACACCCACUGCGGGAGAUAAUAAGUGCUGAUCAUUGUUAUCAGCUAUGAAAUUUUGGGGUCAUUUGUUCUACAACUGAUGUGACUUGAUCCAAGCCUUAAAAAACAGGUAGACAAAAGGGGCUUUAGGAGAAGAUGUAAUAGGGGCAAAGCUAUUGAGACAAGAAGGUACAAAGCAUAUUCUGGAAGACGAUCAAGUCUGGUGUGGAUGGAGGUUCGAGAAGAGGUGUGAGAUGGAGAAAAGGAUGAAAUGUUUCAUGGAAGUCAACUUGUGGAAGAUCUGAAACACCAAGUUAACCAGAGUUGGUGUAUCCUCAGACCCUGCAGAGUGUUGGCACAGAGCAGACACUACCUGCACAGGAGACCUUGGAUGAAGCUGGGGAUCUUCUGACCUGGCAUCCAGCUAACCUGGUACACUGUGCAGUUAAAGAACCCUGCUCUCCUCAAUCCUUGGGCAGGAUCUAUUUAUUCUCUUUAAACUCCAGUCUCAGUUUAAGCUUCAACAGUCAAAAGUCAUGAAGCCACCCUACCAAGCCCUGCUGAAGUGGUGAAGCAUAAAGCUUGCUCCAGGAACGGGAAAGGAAAAGGGAAAAUGAUAGGGGGGAAACAUACACUGGCGUCUCAAGAAAUUAUCCUGCUACACAUGCAUGGGGAACCUACCUACAGGAAAUUCAAAAAAAGAAUCACUGAAGGAGAAACCAGAUACCAAUGAAAGUGGUGGCACAGAAGAGUGGGAGGAAGUAGUGUGGAAAGAAUGUGAAGAGAGUAUCACUUCUCUGAGGACAUUUUUUGACUUGUGAAAUUAUGUUUAUGUUCUACAUUCUCAAAAAUUAAAUUCAACCACUGAGAAUGGGGGAAAAAAUGAAAAACUGAAAGCAAAAAAACCCCAAAUUAACCUUUCAAAUGAAUACCAUAACCACAUUGGAAAAAGAAUAAGGAAAGAAAGAGUCAGGAAGGAAAGAAGGAAGGAAGCCAAUAACUAAUAAAGAAACAUUUGAGUACACACCCUCUGUCUUGGGCAGGGCGGAGGGUAGGAAAGAAUUACAAGUGAAUCCUCAGCCCGUUUUACAGAUUUGUUCAUUGUAGUAGUAAGGGCAAAUACUGAAGCUGUUUUAGAAUAUAUUAUAGGAUUGAACAGAUGUAUUGAUGUUCUUGGGAGCUAGAGAGCUCACAGAGGAAGAAGGGACAUACAAAUACAGAUUGGAAGAAGACAAGACAGAACCCUGAGAGGAUGGAUUGGAACUGGACGUCUCAGGCCACCUAUUAAUUACAACAGAGGAAAAUUAGUUAUUUAAUAAUGAAUAAAUUAGACAACAUCUCGACUGGGCAAUCCAAAUGAACAUCAGCAAUGCAGGACAGGUGGGCAGCGCAUGCCUCUGACUGCGCUACCUCGCGUCUUCUAUGCAGUGUUCUGGUCUGGAAUGCAUCAUGCGGACCUAAUCAUGAAGAAACACCAGAACAACCUGAAAUGAGGAAGAUUUUUUUAAAAGAAGAUAAAAGGUGUAGCAUAUUUGUCAAAAAUGUAAUGUCAUAAAGACAGAGAAAGGCUUUAGAAAUAUUCCAGAUUAAAGGAGGCUGAAGAGUGGUGACAGUUAAAAGCAACAGUUACCUCUGCACUGGGUUUUGUGUUGCAGGAGGUAGGAACCUUUGUUGAGAACGUUAUUGGGUCAAUAACUAACAGAACUGGGAUAUAAUUGAUAGAGUAGAGUAUUAUACUGAUGUUAACUUCACUGAAAUUGGUAGCUACCCUGUGAUUAUAUUAGAGAAUGUCCACAUUCCAAGGAAACAUAUAGUGAACUUUUUAGGGGUAAAGGGCCAUAAUUUUGGAGCAAAGGGCCUUUAAAUGGUUCAGGGAAAACACACACACACACACACACACACACACACACACACACACACACACACACACAUAAAAAGAGAGCACACACACAAAUGAUAAACUAAGUUUAGAUACUUUCAAUGGAUAAAUCUGGAUUAAGGGUGUAUGAGUGUUUUUGUGCAACUUUAAUUUUUGCUACUUUUGGUAAAUUUGAAGUUAUUUCAAAAUAAGUUUUUUAAAAAGAGAAAAAUUCAAGACUAAUUCAAGAAUACUCACCGUAGCUUUACUCAUAGCAGCCUAAACCUAGACCCCCAUGUUCAUCAACAGAAGGACAAGUCAACAGACUGUGAUCCAUCCAUACAAUGGAACACUAUUCAGCAGCGAAGAAGGAAGGACUGCUGAUAAGUACAGCAACUUGGACGAGUCCCAGAAACACCGGAUAAAAGAAGACACACGCACACGCACACAUACGCACACACACACACACGCACACAUACGUGCGUGCACGCACACAUGCACCCACGCACACAGACACACACAACUUGACUCAAUGACUAUGAGGUGCAAGAACAGGCAAAUACAUGUGUGACAGGUCAGAGAGUGGGUGCAUUUGGAAGUAGGGUGAAACUGACUACAAGAUAGGAUGAAGGGACUUUCUGGGGUGAUGAAAAUGAUCUAUAUUUUGUUUGGGGUGGUGAUUUCAUGGGUAUUUACAAAUACCAAAACUCAUCAAACUGAACCCUUAAGAUCUGUACCUUUUAUGGUCUAUAAAUUGUAACUCCAAGUAAAUGAAUAAAUGUUAAACAAACAAGCAAAUUUUUUUUAAGGGAGAUAUCUUAAGGGACAUUCAGGUUGAAAGAGAUGUUAAACAUCUCUGGAAUGUAUUCCAAUGUUAAGACCAUUAUGCCCUGAGAAAGACCCUGGGUGUCUAAAAAUAGGAAAGGAAAUAAAUGAUCUUAAGAAGAUCUAGGGUAUCUGAAAACAUGGAAGGGAAAUAAUUUUUUUAACUUUUUUUAUUGAGUUAUAGUCAUUUUACAAUGUUGUGUCAAAUUCCAGUGUAGAGCACAAUGUUUCAGUUAUACGUGAACAUACAUAUAUUCAUUGUCACAUUUUUUUUCACUGGAUCUACCAUAAGAUCUUGUAUAUAUUUCCCUGUGCUGUACAGUAUAAUCUUGUUUAUCUAUUCUACAUUUUGAAAUCCCAGUCUGUCCCUUCCCACCCCACUGGAAGGGAAAUAAUUUAUCUUAAUCUUCUUGGAACCAAACCUUAGAAUACUUAAGAAUGUCCUGUGGGAGGUACGGUUAAUUUCAAAACAUAACUAACCGGUUUGCUGGUCCAGAGAGGUAGAUGCGUACAUGGCUACAGUGGGAAGGAUGUCUAGGUUUCGCUGCGUGGGUUUUUUUCCAUACGUGUGAGGAGUGGCGCAUCUUCACAGAACUGGGGCCUGUUUGGGCACCAUUCGUAUCCUGGUUCGCCCCCGCUGGGCGCCAGCCAGGGCUGCCACUACACGUGUUAGCAAGUUCCACCAAGUUCAGGCAUCCAUCUCUAGCAGCACAUGAAGGAGUUCGUUUUAUUCAAGUGAUAAAAGGAUUAGUUCACAGAAACUACAAUGCAUAAUAGAAAUAAUGUUAAUUGAAAUAUCUGUGCCAUAGUUCAAGUACCCACAGUCAUUACGGCAUAGUUUUAUAACUGCAGCAGCUCCUCUGCUGUGGCUGCUGGUGACGCCUUCGUCCAGAGGCACUGGGGUGGUGUUCUGUUCCAGUCCUGUGGCAGCUCUGUGACUUUGGUCGGGCUGGCUCUGUGAGUUCUGUCCUUGACUUCUUUUGCUCUGGAGUGCCCCGCUGGUCCAGUUGAGGGGGUCGCUUCCUGUUGUCACAGCUAGCAUACAAAUUCUGGAGUUUGCCAGUCUUCUUAGUUCACCAAAUUCAGUUUCAAGGGCACAGAUUUUCUCAGUGAUUCUUUUGUUGUUCUAGAAUGUUGUGCUUCUAAUUACUGUUACUGCAGUCUUUGCAAAACAGGGACUUCCAUGAGAAAACCUCUGGGGGCGCUUGCUGUCUGUGAGCGUCUCUGUGAAUCCUUACUAACCCCCGCUGCAGCCAGAGUGGAAGCGGUUUUUAACAGCCUUCCAUGGCCUAACGUGGAAAGUAACGAUCACCCUCCCCCGACACACAGCUGCCCUUUUACCUAGAGCUACAGCAGCUGAGGGCGAAGUGAUCCGCUUACACCGCGCGGCGUUUCACGAGUCAUUCAUUUCACACUCACCCGUGUGUGGGUUGCAGAUUGAUCGGGAUGAGAGUGCAUGCCUUUGAACAAAAACCCCAGGAAGCGGACAGAAAAACGAGCAAGGGAUCUUGAAUCUGAGUUUCACCUCGUGUUUUUGUCAUAAAUAACUGUGCGACCUUAAUCUCUGGUUCUCAGCUUGCUCGGACGUGAAAUAAAUAGUUCAGCACUGGCUGCCUCUGAGGGUGGGGCUUGGAGCUCCUGGGCCAGACAAGGACAUACCGACGGAGACGAAAAGAGCCAAGAAGUAGACAGGCUCUUACAUAAGGCUAUUCACACGUGCAAAUGCCUGAGAGAGAACUGUUGUUCAUAUUACACGUUUCUCUACCACUAAACAAAAAUAUGCGUGUAUUACUUUUAUACAUUUUAAAAACACAAAAAUUAUAAAAUAGAAAACUUUUGGAGAAGUUGAUUUCUAACAUCCUUUAUUGCUUAAAAAUGUUUAUUAUUAAAAAUGUUACCAGAAGGUGUUAGGGCAGGGAAAGAAUGUAUGAAAACGCAUGGCAUCACUGCAUGGGGGUGGAGGGAGAGCCGACCUACAUCAUUUGGGAAAAGAGUGUUUUUACUGGAAACUGGAAGACUAAAGACAAGGAGAACAGACCCAAAACACUGUAUUUUACUUGGUAACCGUGUGUCACACAAGGGCACAGUUUAGCAAUUCUGAUGCUGCUUUACAAGUAGACUAGGGUUGAACAAAAAUAAAUGAAUUAUAGACAAUGGGGAUCAUGUUUCUCAUUUCAGAGAAAGUAGAUUACAAAUUAGCAAAGGAGGGAAGACUAGAAUGAACUGUGUGGAGCUUGAUGAAUCAAAGAUAUCAGUGUAAAUUCAGGUAGAUAAAAACGGAUGAUACAGAAAUAAAAAGAACUUCAUUGGCCAAACUUGGCACAGUAUGAGCAAUAAGAUUAGUAACAAUAGUAUUGGAUUAUGACUCCAAGAAUAAAAUAAGCAUCUAUUACUCCAUACUAAUAUAAAUAAGUGAUUGAAUAAAUAAACAGAGAAGAAGGGAAAACUCUUCCUUAGAGGAAAAAAUCCCAAAAUUCCAAAUAAUAAAUGUAGAAGAAAUGAGGGCAAUAGAAAAAUCACCGUUUGAGCACCACAGUAAUAAUUAUUCAAGGAUGUAUGCUAAAAUUAGUGGAUGAAACUUUAAGGAGAAACAAAAUAUUUGCAUAGCCUCUCGCUGAAAUAUUUACUAAGUGCUUUAGUGGUUUUUAACAUAUGCCCACAAAUUCUUUGACACUCCUCCCUCCAGGAGGUGCCAUUCAUUUCCCUAGGUCUUGAAAUGUUAGCUGGACUUAGAAACCCACUUGUAAUAUAAUGUGGAAAGGGAAAAAUAGUAAUUUUACAGUGUAGGAAUGGCAGAUGGCAGACAUCAUCUUAACCAAGAGAUGAAGGUUAGUAUCACCAGUAAUAAGUUGAUUGGUACAUGUUGAUAUCAUGUAUCCUUGAUACGAUGCAAUGAGAAAGGCUCUUCAUCUCUGUGCUGUUCUCAAAACCCCACAGCCCCAGUCUAAUGAGAAAACAUCAGACAAACUCAAAUGGAGGGCCAUUCUACAAAAUAUCUGGCCAGUGCUCUUCAAAGGUGUCAGGUUCAUUAUAAAAACAAGGAAAGACUGAGAAACCAUCACAGAUUGGAGGAGACUAAGGAGAUAUGCUCACUAAAUGCCAUGUGGUAUCCCACUGACUCCUUGAGCAGAAAAAAUGUAAGUGGGAAACCUAGUGAAAUUCAAAUAAAGUCUGUAGUUUAGUUACUCAUGUCUACCAAAGUUUAUUUCUUAGGCUUGGAUAAAUACCCCAAAUUACACAAUGUAAUAGCAUUAGGGGAAGCUGGUGAAACAUAUGCAAGAAUUCUUUGUAUUAUCUUUGUAACUUGUAACUUUGUAGCUUAUCUUUGUACUAUCUUUGUAACAUCUGUAAAUCUAAACUGCUUCAAAAUAGAAAGUUGGGGAAGAUGUUAUAUGAUAAAAUGCACUGUGUCAAAAUAAAAAAUAGGUACGUCUAAUCAGGAGCCCUAUUGUUGAGUCCAGAAUCAAGUUAGAAACUAGAAUGAAUGAAUAAAUCCCAAAAAGAUGUUAGAUGUAAAGAAAUAUAGGCCUUUACACUCUUUUUUUCUUGAAAUAUAGCCAACACCUUGGAUUUAUUAACAGAGCUGGGCACAUACCUCGCACGUCGUGUGAAACUAGAACUCAUUAUUUUGUCAUUAGCUUGCUUUUCGUAUCUCUAAAAGAACCUCAGGAGAUCAUCGAGUCCCAGGCUGGGGAACCGUUUUCACUCCCAUCCAGGCCCGUAGACCCAUAGAAAAACAUGAGCAUUAGUACAAAGCAAUUUAAUGCCAUUUCAGUUGCUAGAUGUUGUUUUUUUCUCCCCAGAGAUAGAAAUGUGUGAUGAAUUAUAUUUGUGUGCAUUUAAAAUUAAGAAGAGUUACAUAAAAUUGUUCUAUAAAUGAAAAAAAAAAACAACCUUCUAUUCAUACUAGUAACAGCUUAUGGAAGGAAAGGGGAGAGAACGGAAGAGGAGGAGGAGCUGCCGGACACCCCUGGGUGGGUGCUGCCUCCGUGGCGAAGCUUCGCGGGGUGGCCUGGAGAACGAGGUUGGAUGCAGUGUUUCUGUGAAGCAGCCCCGAGCGAGAAGCGCCUGCGAGUAACUGCAGUCGGUGUUCUGGUAAAGGAUGAACGUCAGAGUUCACUGCGGAGAUUCUGUAGUCAGGUCCAAGGAGGGGAAAGGGAAAGACUGAGUAAUUACUAGAGCUUCCGUACACAGUGGCGUAUCUCAUUUUAUUCCCGAACCAGCCCUGCGAGACACGUACUAUCAGCCUCCUUCUACAGCUGGGGAAACUAAAGCUAAGGGACACUAAGGAACUUGCCCAGGGUCACACAGUCAGUAACUGGAGAAGACAGAAUUGGAACCUAGGUGAAUGUGCCCUCAGAGUUUGCGCUCUUAACCACAACACAAAAAGAGUCGACAGCUGCGCAGACACAGGAACCAAGAAGACAAAGAAAGGAUAGGCAGGAAUACUGUGGGAGGGAGCAGCGUUUGCCUCUGGCGCCUGAGAUUCACUGCUAAUGGCUGCAACCACACACACCUACAGAAGCAGUUUGUCCCCAAUUCCAGGGCCAAUUUUCCAGCCAGCUCUGUCCUGUGCAGGCCUGGAGUUCGGCAGAGUCGAGGCUGCUUGGAUGGAGACUGGGAACCCUUCCACCACGACAGAGUGGUGUCUGGAAGGGGUGUGCUGCUCUCAAACCUGCCGGCAAGAGUACUGUUUCUACACUGGCUAAAACAACUGAAAAACUAGAGAAGAACAAACUGAUUUUCAAAGCCUCGUGUUCCUUGGGUUACCCUUCCCAGCUUCCCUGUCGCAGGUGGCAUCUAGUGUGCCUUCCCCAGAAGCUAUCUCGUGUCCAAACUCUGCCCCCCCGUGCCAUCUUCCUCUCUCCUCCUCUGUGAAGACUUGCCCCUUUAAAACCGGAUCCUCUGAGGAUCCAAAUGCGAAACUCCUAAUUCUGUUUCUAAAUUAACUGGAGGAAAUAAACUAGAAGGAAAGAUUAAAGUA